GUGCCAGCAGCCGCGGUAAUACAGAGGGUGCGAGCGUUGUCCGGAAUCACUGGGCGUAAAGGGCGCGUAGGUGGCGCCCCAAGUCAGUGGUGAAAGCUCGAUGCUCAACAUCGAGUCGGCCACUGAGACUGGGGGGCUCGAGCACUGUAGAGGCAGAUGGAAUUCCGGGUGUAGCGGUGGAAUGCGUAGAGAUCCGGAAGAACACCGGUGGCGAAGGCGGUCUGCUGGGCAGUAGCUGACACUGAGGCGCGACAGCGUGGGGAGCAAACAGGAUUAGAAACCCGCGUAGUCC
RNAcentral lists this ribosomal RNA (292 nucleotides) under uncultured bacterium. RNAcentral's name for it is "partial 16S ribosomal RNA". It matches the Rfam family "Bacterial small subunit ribosomal RNA", at positions 505 to 796 of the family's 1533-position model. The record is from RNAcentral.